Molecule: non-coding RNA, 110 nt
Filed under: Stenotrophomonas maltophilia
Lineage: Bacteria; Pseudomonadati; Pseudomonadota; Gammaproteobacteria; Lysobacterales; Lysobacteraceae
Description: SAM riboswitch (S box leader)
Rfam family: SAM riboswitch aptamer (S box leader)
About the family: The SAM riboswitch is found upstream of a number of genes which code for proteins involved in methionine or cysteine biosynthesis in Gram-positive bacteria. The SAM riboswitch acts at the level of transcription termination control.
Source: RNAcentral
CAUCGAGACCGGCAGAGGGACAGGCCCUUUGAAGCCGGGGCAGCCCGCAGAUGCGAAAGCGUCUGCGUAGGUGCCAAAUCCUGCGGGGACCGUGGCGUCCACCGAAAGAU